GAUGAACGCUGGCGGCGUGCUUAACACAUGCAAGUCGAACGAUGAAGCCCAGCUUGCUGGGUGGAUUAGUGGCGAACGGGUGAGUAACACGUGAGUAACCUGCCCUUAACUCUGGGAUAAGCCUGGGAAACUGGGUCUAAUACCGGAUAGGAGCGUCCACCGCAUGGUGGGUGUUGGAAAGAUUUAUCGGUUUUGGAUGGACUCGCGGCCUAUCAGCUUGUUGGUGAGGUAAUGGCUCACCAAGGCGACGACGGGUAGCCGGCCUGAGAGGGUGACCGGCCACAAUGGGACUGAGACACGGACCAGACUCCUACGGGACGCAGCAGGGGGGAAUAUUGCACAAUGGGCGCAAGCCUGAUGCAGCGACGCCGCGUGCGGGAUGACGGCCUUCGGGUUGUAAACCUCUUUCUGAGGGGAAGAAGCGAAAGUGACGGUACCUGCUGAAGAAGCACCGGCUAACUACGUG
RNAcentral lists this ribosomal RNA (466 nucleotides) under uncultured bacterium. RNAcentral's name for it is "partial 16S ribosomal RNA". It matches the Rfam family "Bacterial small subunit ribosomal RNA", at positions 28 to 507 of the family's 1533-position model. The record is from RNAcentral.